GGCGAAUCUUUUUUUUGCUGCCUGCAGAAGAGGGGCACCCAGGUGGGGUGUAAACAGGAUGCAAGGGCUUUCCGGGCAUCCUCCCAGUACUUCCUCCCGGCCAUGUGUGGCUGGCCUCAGACUUGCUGUGUAGCAGAGGAUGAUCUUGAAGUCUCAAUCCUCCUGUGUCUACAUCCCAAGUGCCAGGAUUAGAGGGAGAGGCACCACUGGAAGACGUGACCUCGUUGGAGGAAGUCACUACGCAGGCGGACUUUAAGGUCAAGCUACGCACACAGCGAAGCACAGUCUCAUUUGCUGCCUGAGGAUCAAGAUGUGGAACUCAGCUGGGUAUGAGGGCACACGCCUGUGAUCCCAGCACUCAGGGAGGAAGAGGCAGGCGGAUCACUGUGAGUGUGAGGCCAGCCUGGUCUACAAAGCAAUUCCAGGACAGCCAAGGCUACACAAAGAGACCCUGUCUUGAAGAACCAAACAUAAAAGAAGAAAGAAAGAAAUGAAGAAAGAAAGAAAGAAAGAAAGAAAGAAAGAAAGAAAGAAAGAAAGAAAGAAAGAAAGAAAGAAGAAAAGAUGUAGAACUCUCAGCUCCUUCUCCGGCACCUCCAUGCGGCCCACCAUAAUGAUAAUGGACUAAACCUCAGAAACUGUAAGCCAGCCCCAAUUAAAUGCUUUUUUGUUUUGUUUUGUUUUGUUUUGUUUUGUUUUGUUUUGUUUUAAUAAGAGCUGUAUUGGUCGUGGUGUCUCUUCAUAGCAAUAAAACCCGAAGACAUCUGGUGAUAGCUCUAUUCUACGGCCUGAAGGCACCCACCGUGCAGAAAGUCUCAGUGCUUGAUAGGGUCGCUGGUGCUGACUUACAAUGAAUUCAUUCUAGGAAUGUA
Long non-coding RNA from Meriones unguiculatus (Mongolian gerbil), 872 nucleotides. RefSeq lists it as uncharacterized. The record is from RefSeq and is a predicted model, not a curated record. The transcript is spliced from 3 exons. Lineage: Eukaryota; Metazoa; Chordata; Mammalia; Rodentia; Muridae.